GCUGAGUGCAGAGGGGAUUUCCAAGGCAGAGCUAGCUGAUGGUCUUAUUCUGGUGAUGUAAUUUUCAGGCGGGGAGAGGGAUGGGCAUGUCCGAGCUCCGGGCGAGGCAACUGGCCUUACACUCACAUUCCCAUUCAAUGUGAUUUCAGAUUUGUACGUGAAUUAAGUGUGGUGUCUAAAAAUGAAGCAAUGGGGCUGUUGGGAAAAAAUAUUCCCAGUAAAUAGGUAUCCUGUGCUCCAGCCACAUGGUCCCCAGUGAGCAGGGAGCUCCAGUGCUGAGUCCUCCAGGACAGAGAGGGGCACCACAGGCUGUGCCCCAUGAGCAGGAGGAGAGACUGACAGGAGUUGGAGGACCCCCCUGGUUUACCCACCCAGCACCUGCUGCUGCUUCUGAGUCCUGACAGCUCUGUCCAUGGAUCAAGGACCGUGGAUCAUGCUGACAAGCUCAUCAAUUACCUGCUACUCACCAACAAUACCAAGGUCUUGCUUUCUUGGUGGGGUAGUUGAUGACUGCUGAGGAUGUCUGUGAACUUGAAAUUGUGUUUAUCUGCCAGAGACCUUGAACCUGAGAACUUCCUUCCAUGCACAGUGGUACAGAUGGCGAGCUUGGUAGCUGCCUAGAAGCUAAAAGAGACAGCGUCAACAGUGAAACACCAGAAGUGACAGACAGUGUCUAUCUGAGCAGAGACCAGUGACUGCAUUUGGAGGAGCCAUAAUUUUCAGAUGAUGACUUUUAGGAUCCUUUAAGGAGGAUAAUUGAUUACCUGACAAAGAACCCGUAGCAUUUCCUCCACACAAUGGAAGAGAGAAAAACAGCAACGAUCAGCUCUUUUGAGCCGAAAAGGAGCAUUUUUCAGAGAAAACACCAAAAAGUUUAUAACAAUGGGAGCCCGAGGAAACACAAAUACAUCUUGCCUUCUUGACAAAUAAGAUUUAAUUAAGACAAUCCUCCUGCUGGAAAGGCAGCGCUUGCCUGUGCCGUGCAGGGAAAAGCGACAGGCUCAGGAGUGAGAAUCUCCUUGAAAUGCCGUCCUGUGUGGUCUCUUAAUUAUUCAUGAGCAUCCUUGUCACUGAAUUUCAUGGUUUCACCUAUUUUUAAUUGAUCUUUUUACUCUAAAUGCUACUUGUAUUACUUCAUGACAUAGGUAAUGCGUCCACAAUAGGCACAGAUGAAACAGAGAGGCUUGUGCUCACCCCUGAGGAAUUCCAACAACGUGGUUAGCACUUUGCAGGCGGGCUGGGAACUCUGCCGUGGGAAGCGGGGGUCUGAGAGCAAGGUCAGGGACACCAUCUUGUUCUUGGGACUGAAUCAGAGACAGAGCAGCCAGGAGCCCCAGGACCCUGCCCCCAGAUGCUUACCAUGGGCAGGCAGCUAUGUGCAGGGAGAUGCCUCAGUGAGCCCCAGGUUCCUCAUGAAAACCUACAGCUUCAAUAAAAUCUACACUUCCCAGUCUGGGCCGCUUCCCACUGUAUGCUCCCAAAGCCAGUUACUUUCAUUAUGACCCCAUGGUGGAUCCUAGCACAGCCCCCCUGUCUCAGGAGGCUCCUGGGGCUUCUCCUGGCUGCCCUGCCUCUGGUUCUGUCACCAGUACAAAACAGUGUCGCUGACCUGGCUCUCAGACCCCCCGCUUCCCAUGGCAGAGUUCCUGGCAAAGCAUUUCCUGAAAAUCAGUCUUCUCAGAUUUUCUCCUGAGAUGUGGCCAAGGCCCUAAAACAGGGGUCGGCCAUCGCACCCAGAUUCCUACCAAUGAGACGGGCCACGGUGGGAAUGAGGAAGAAAGGAUCAGCCCUAGCCAAGGAGGCCCUCCCAUGGGCACGUCCAAAAGAAAGAUCAGACCCCUUCACACCACAGAGGCUACCCUUGGCCCUCAGGAUGGCGUCCAACCCCCCACAGGUCCCUGCCUCUCCAAUCCCACUUCCCACCACUAACCACUAUGUCCACUCAGUCAUGGCCACACUGACCUCUCUGCUGGCCUUGGACAGACCAAGCUUCCCAGAACCUCAGGGCCUUGGCAUGUGCUGGCCCCUCCUCCUGGAGUAUUCCGCCACCCCCACCCUGAUCCUAACCCAGUUACCUCCAGGAGCCUCAUCACCUGUCAGGUCUCAGAUGAAUGUCACUUCCUUGGGGGGUUCUCCUGUGUCCCCAUCACCUCCUCACCCAGGCCCAGGGCCCAGGUCAGGUCCCCCAAAGCCCCUCUGGUCACACUGUGGUGCCCUUUCUUCCCAGCCAGGACCAUGUUUAAUGAAACAAGGCCAUUGUUAUCUGAGGAUGACCCAUACAACUAAAAAGCCCAUUUGAGGCAAAUCCAACUAAAUUAAGUACCAAAGUUUCACAACAAAUGCUUUGUGAUUUAGUUAACAAACAUUAUUUACCUUGGACUCACUUUAGGCCAGAUGCUGUUCUCAGUACUCCACGUAAUGAAAUCAUUUACCCUCCGAAACUUAGGCACCACUGCAUCACCAUCCCUGCUUUGCAGAUGAGGACACAAAGGCACAGAAAGGUUGCUCCUGUAGAAAUCAACAUCAUCAGAAUUGGAUCAAGUCACCUGCACCAGGGCCCCUGC
Callithrix jacchus (white-tufted-ear marmoset) is the source of this 2564-nucleotide long non-coding RNA. RefSeq lists it as uncharacterized. The record is from RefSeq and is a predicted model, not a curated record. Lineage: Eukaryota; Metazoa; Chordata; Mammalia; Primates; Cebidae.